This 254-nucleotide ribosomal RNA is filed under the name uncultured bacterium. Its description in RNAcentral is "partial 16S ribosomal RNA". It matches the Rfam family "Bacterial small subunit ribosomal RNA", at positions 524 to 776 of the family's 1533-position model. The record is from RNAcentral.
CACGUAGGCACCAAGCGUUGUCCGGAUUUAUUGGGCGUAAAGAGCUCGUAGGCGGUUCGGUAAGUCGGGGGUGAAAUCUCUGGGCUCAACCCAGAGGGGCCACCCGAUACUGCUGUGACUAGAGUGCGGUAGGGGAGUGGGGAAUUCCUGGUGUAGCGGUGAAAUGCGCAGAUAUCAGGAGGAACACCAGUGGCGAAGGCGCCACUCUGGGCCGUAACUGACGCUGAGGAGCGAAAGCGUGGGUAGCAAACAGG